ACUCCUACGGGAGGCAGCAGUGGGGAAUAUUGCACAAUGGGCGCAAGCCUGAUGCAGCCAUGCCGCGUGUAUGAAGAAGGCCUUCGGGUUGUAAAGUACUUUCGGCGAGGAGGAAGGCGAUAAGGUUAAUAACCUUGUCGAUUGACGUUACUCGCAGAAGAAGCACCGGCUAACUCCGUGCCAGCAGCCGCGGUAAU
RNAcentral lists this ribosomal RNA (197 nucleotides) under uncultured Raoultella sp. Its description in RNAcentral is "partial 16S ribosomal RNA". It matches the Rfam family "Bacterial small subunit ribosomal RNA", at positions 335 to 524 of the family's 1533-position model. Lineage: Bacteria; Pseudomonadati; Pseudomonadota; Gammaproteobacteria; Enterobacterales; Enterobacteriaceae. The record is from RNAcentral.